Mytilus californianus (California mussel) is the source of this 301-nucleotide long non-coding RNA. RefSeq lists it as uncharacterized. The record is from RefSeq and is a predicted model, not a curated record. The transcript is spliced from 3 exons. Lineage: Eukaryota; Metazoa; Mollusca; Bivalvia; Mytilida; Mytilidae.
UUUUUAAAAACAGUGAAAAACAAACUUGCAGUGAAAUUUAGCUCGAUCCAGAUUCCAGAACAAAGAAAAAGAGUCUUGUAUAAAAAUUCACAGAUCCAAUGUGUCUGAGGUUGAGGAAUGCAUUGCAGUAACACUUAAGCAUGCACCAGCUCUAAAAGAUGGACCAAGAUAUAAAAAGAGACCUGAAACCAACACAAGACCAGCUGAUCAGAGGGCAGAAAACCAAAAUUUGGAAUGACAUGUAUACAACCAACACAAGACUAAAAUUUGGAAUAAAAAUAAAAAAAAUUCAGAAACAUAU